This 67-nucleotide transfer RNA is filed under the name Erinaceus europaeus (western European hedgehog). It matches the Rfam family "tRNA". From Rfam's summary of the family: Transfer RNA (tRNA) molecules are approximately 80 nucleotides in length. Their secondary structure includes four short double-helical elements and three loops (D, anti-codon, and T loops). The record is from Rfam by way of RNAcentral. Lineage: Eukaryota; Metazoa; Chordata; Mammalia; Eulipotyphla; Erinaceidae.
UGUGAGGUGGCUCAGAGGGUAGAGUGCCUGCCUUGUGAGCAGGCGAUCCCAAGUUCAAUUCUCUCAA